UGAAUACGAGACGCUAAGGCGUCGAAGUAGUGUAUAUCAUACUUCCAAGAAAAGCUUGCAAUGUCAUAGAUAAAAAACGCCUGUACCAUAACCGACACAGGUGGGUAGGUAGAGUAUACUAAGGGGCGCGAGAUAACUCUCUCUAAGGAACUCGGCAAAAUAACUCCGUAACUUCGGGAGAAGGAGUGCCUUAUUCGUAAGGUUGCAAUAACAAGAUCCAAGCAACUGUUUAUCAAAAACACAGGUCUCCGCUAAGUCGCAAGACGAUGUAUGGGGGCUGACGCCUGCCCAGUGCCAGAAGGUUAAAGAAGUUGGUUAGCAAUUGCGAAGCUGAUAACUGAAGCCCUGGUGAACGGCGGCCGUAACUAUAACGGUCCUAAGGUAGCGAAAUUCCUUGUCGGGUAAGUUCCGACCCGCACGAAAGGCGUAAUGAUUUGGAUACUGUCUCGGAGAGGGGCUCGGUGAAAUAGACUUGUCUGUGAAGAUGCGGACUACCUGCACCAGGACAGAAAGACCCUAUGAAGCUUUACUGUAACUUGAAAUUGAAAUUGGACUUUAUUCGCGCAGUAUAGGUGGGAGGCGUUGAUUAUAAUCUUGCGGGAUUAUUGGAGCCAUCAGUGAGAUACCACUCUUGUAAUGUUAGAUUUCUAACUUUGAACCAUUAUCUGGUCAAAGAACAGUUUCAGGCGGGCAGUUUGACUGGGGCGGUCGCCUCCUAAACGGUAACGGAGGCGUACAAAGGUUUCCUCUGAACGGUUAGAAAUCGUAUCUAGGGUGUAAAGGCAUAAGGAAGCUUGACUGUGAGACCUACAAGUCGAGCAGGGACGAAAGUCGGUCUUAGUGAUCUGACGGUACUGAGUGGAAAGGCCGUCACUCAACGGAUAAAAGUUACUCUAAGGAUAACAGGCUGAUCUCCCCCAAGAGUUCACAUCGACGGGGAGGUUUGGCACCUCGAUGUCGGCUCAUCGCAUCCUGGGGCGGUAGUACGUCCCAAGGGUUGGGCUGUUCGCCCAUGAAAGCGGUACGCGAGCUGGGUUCAGAACGUCGUGAGACAGUUCGGUCCAUAUCCGGUGUAGGCGUUAGAGUAUUGAGAGGAGCCUUCUUUAGUACGAGAGGACCGAGAAGGACAUACCUCUGGUGUACCAGUUAUCGUGCCAACGGUAAACGCUGGGUAGCUAUGUAUGGAGUGGAUAACCGCUGAAAGCAUCUAAGUGGGAAGCCCACCUCAAGAUAAGUAUUCUCAC
This 1244-nucleotide ribosomal RNA is filed under the name metagenome. RNAcentral's name for it is "bacterial LSU rRNA". It matches the Rfam family "Bacterial large subunit ribosomal RNA", at positions 1564 to 2817 of the family's 2925-position model. The record is from RNAcentral.